This 942-nucleotide ribosomal RNA is filed under the name uncultured archaeon. RNAcentral describes it as "bacterial SSU rRNA". It matches the Rfam family "Archaeal small subunit ribosomal RNA", at positions 1 to 922 of the family's 1478-position model. The record is from RNAcentral.
UUCCGGUUGAUCCCGCCGGACCUUACUGCUAUCGGGGUGGGACUAAGACAUGCGAGUCGAGCGUCUCUAGCUAUGUUGAGACGCGGCAGACGGCUCAGUAACACGUGGCUAACCUACCCUCAGGACGAGGAUAAACCCGGGAAACUGGGGCUAAUACUCGAUAGGUGAGAAUGUCUGGAAUGAUUUCUCACUCAAAGGGCCUUGGGAACAUGCUUCCAAUGUCGCCUGGGGAUGGGGCCGCGUCCGAUCAGGUUGUUGGUGAGGUAAUGGCUCACCAAGCCUAUAACCGGUACGGGCCGUGAGAGCGGUAGCCCGGAGAUGGGUACUGAGACAAGGACCCAGGCCCUACGGGGCGCAGCAGUCGCGAAAACUCCGCAAUGCACGAAAGUGUGACGGGGCUACCCCGAGUGCCAUCCGCUGAGGAUGGCUUUUCCUUGGUAUAACUAGCCGAGGGAAUAAGGAGAGGGCAAGACUGGUGUCAGCCGCCGCGGUAAUACCAGCUCUCCGAGUGGUAGGGAUGAUUAUUGGGCCUAAAGCGUCCGUAGCCGGCUUAGCAAGUCUCCUGUUAAAUUCAGCGACCUAAUCGUUGAGCCGCGGGAGAUACUACUAUGCUAGGAGGCGGGAGAGGUCGACGGUACUCCUGGGGUAGGGGUGAAAUCCUAUAAUCCCGGGAGGACCACCAGUGGCGAAGGCUGUCGACUAGAACGCGCUCGACGGUGAGGGACGAAAGCUGGGGUAGCGAACCGGAUUAGAUACCCGGGUAGUCCCAGCCGUAAACGAUGCGGGCUAGGUGUCGGAAUGGCUACGUGCCAUUUCAGUGCCGCAGGGAAGCCAUUAAGCCCGCCGCCUGGGGAGUACGGCCGCAAGGCUGAAACUUAAAGGAAUUGGUGGGGGAGCACCACAAGGCGUGAAGCUUGCGGUUCAAUUGGAGUCAACGCCGGG